AUACGGAGGGUGCAAGCGUUAUUCGGAAUCACUGGGCGUAAAGGACGCGUAGGCGGGUUGGCAAGUCAGAUGUGAAAUCCUACAGCUUAACUGUAGAACUGCAUUUGAAACUGCUAACCUAGAGUAUGGGAGGGGGAGAUGGAAUUAGUGGUGUAGGGGUAAAAUCCGUAGAUAUCACUAGGAAUACCGAAAGCGAAGGCGAUCUCCUGGAACAUAACUGACGCUAAGGCGUGAAGGCGUGGGGAGCAAACAGGAUUAGAAACCCUAGUAGUCC
RNAcentral lists this ribosomal RNA (274 nucleotides) under uncultured bacterium. Its description in RNAcentral is "partial 16S ribosomal RNA". It matches the Rfam family "Bacterial small subunit ribosomal RNA", at positions 523 to 796 of the family's 1533-position model. The record is from RNAcentral.